This 465-nucleotide ribosomal RNA is filed under the name Vreelandella stevensii. Its description in RNAcentral is "partial 16S ribosomal RNA". It matches the Rfam family "Bacterial small subunit ribosomal RNA", at positions 338 to 795 of the family's 1533-position model. Lineage: Bacteria; Pseudomonadati; Pseudomonadota; Gammaproteobacteria; Oceanospirillales; Halomonadaceae. The record is from RNAcentral.
CCUACGGGAGGCUGCAGUGGGGAAUAUUGGACAAUGGGGGGAACCCUGAUCCAGCCAUGCCGCGUGUGUGAAGAAGGCCCUCGGGUUGUAAAGCACUUUCAGUGAGGAAGAACGCCUGGUGGUUAAUACCCAUCAGGAAAGACAUCACUCACAGAAGAAGCACCGGCUAACUCCGUGCCAGCAGCCGCGGUAAUACGGAGGGUGCGAGCGUUAAUCGGAAUUACUGGGCGUAAAGCGCGCGUAGGUGGCUUGAUAAGCCGGUUGUGAAAGCCCCGGGCUCAACCUGGGAACGGCAUCCGGAACUGUCAAGCUAGAGGGCAGGAGAGGAAGGUAGAAUUCCCGGUGGAGCGGUGAAAUGCGUAGAGAUCGGGAGGAAUACCAGUGGCGAAGGCGGCCUUCUGGACUGACACUGACACUGAGGUGCGAAAGCGUGGGUAGCAAACAGGAUUAGAUACCCUUGUAGUC